GACGAACGCUGGCGGCGUGCUUAACACAUGCAAGUCGAGCGGAAAGGCCCUUCGGGGUACUCGAGCGGCGAACGGGUGAGUAACACGUGAGUAAUCUGCCCUUGGCUUUGGGAUAACUACCGGAAACGGUGGCUAAUACCGGAUACGACAACCGUCUGCAUGGGCUGGUUGUGGAAAGUUUUUUCGGCCAGGGAUGUGCUCGCGGCCUAUCAGCUUGUUGGUGGGGUAAUGGCCUACCAAGGCUUCGACGGGUAGCCGGCCUGAGAGGGUGACCGGCCACACUGGGACUGAGACACGGCCGAGACUCCUACGGGAGGCAGCAGUGGGGAAUAUUGGACAAUGGGCGGAAGCCUGAUCCAGCAACGCCGCGUGAGGGAUGACGGCCUUCGGGUUGUAAACCUCUUUCAGUACCGACGAAGCGCCGAUGAUGGUGGUGACGGUAGGUACAGAAGAAGCACCGGCCAACUACGUG
RNAcentral lists this ribosomal RNA (472 nucleotides) under uncultured bacterium. RNAcentral's name for it is "partial 16S ribosomal RNA". It matches the Rfam family "Bacterial small subunit ribosomal RNA", at positions 28 to 507 of the family's 1533-position model. The record is from RNAcentral.